GCCCGGGCUGCGCCGACCGCCGGCCCCGAGCCGCCGCGGGCCCCGAGGAGUCGGCCGAGCUGCUCCCGCGCCCUGGCCGGGGACUUACCAAUUUGGGAUUCUUCCAGGAGCUGAAAACUGAUUACAAAUAUGAAACAGAUUUCACUACAGGACUUGAACCCUACAUUAAAAAACAACAAGCUCUCCAAAAUAAUUGAAAAAGAUCUUCACCAAAGAGUAGCUGCAAUGUGAAUGGCAGGAUAUGAAGCAAGUAAGAGAUGGUGAAAAGAUUAUCUUAAGCUUGGAAUUAAGUGAUGAAAGGGACCUUAGAAAUGAUCAACUCUAAAUACUUCUUUACAGGAAAAUUGAAAGCAGUUAAGAACCUGCCCCCUGCCAUGGAGUUCUUGGUGCCGUGAGUUGGAGUUUUUGGUGCCUGGGUGCAUCCCCAAGGCCACUGGUCUUCAGAUGUUUCUUACUUGAGAAGAACGCCUCCGCCUCCUGGCUCUCCCACCAGUGGUACUGCUACCACCACACACCAGCAUAAAGCACAGAUUGCUGCCCAGCUCCUUGGAGAGGGGCCAGUGCAUUUGUCAGGAAUUGAAAAGUUUUGGAGCCAGUUCGAGGACUUUCUGCUGCACAAAGUGUUGGCUGGAAGCAUGAUUAUCUCACACAGAGCUGUUGGAAUUACUUCGUGAUGAUUUCAA
RNAcentral lists this long non-coding RNA (683 nucleotides) under Pongo abelii (Sumatran orangutan). Its description in RNAcentral is "lincRNA". Lineage: Eukaryota; Metazoa; Chordata; Mammalia; Primates; Hominidae. The record is from RNAcentral.